UUAGGGACUGUUAUGAAUUUUCUAAAAUCUAAACUGUCAUUCUCAUGGACAGAUUAUGUUUUGGCACUGUCAAGCUCACGGUUAAGUCUAGCUUAAAUCAUUAUAAUGAGAAAUUAAAGAACAGUACUUAUCCAUCUAAUCCACUCGUGUUUCUUGUCGUUUCUUGAAAUCAGGUGCAUAUAAUUAUAGGCAGGAAUCAUCUAAAUAUGUAUAGUAUUUAAUUAAUAGUGCUGCCCAAUAUGUUUAACUAAACAUGUAUAAAUACCGAAAUAUAAUGUACUAUACAGUGUAUAAACAUGACAUCAAUGGUGCAAAGUAAUAAACGGUCAAUACAUUAACAUAGUGGCACCCAACAACAACACUUGAAGAUUUUUUCCCCC
Molecule: long non-coding RNA, 380 nt
Filed under: Brassica napus (rape)
Lineage: Eukaryota; Viridiplantae; Streptophyta; Magnoliopsida; Brassicales; Brassicaceae
Description: long non-coding RNA (BNAP_LNC017172)
Source: RNAcentral